This 449-nucleotide ribosomal RNA is filed under the name uncultured bacterium. RNAcentral's name for it is "partial 16S ribosomal RNA". It matches the Rfam family "Bacterial small subunit ribosomal RNA", at positions 29 to 523 of the family's 1533-position model. The record is from RNAcentral.
AACGAACGCUGGCGGCAUGCCUAACACAUGCAAGUCGAACGAAGCCUUCGGGCUUAGUGGCGCACGGGUGCGUAACGCGUGGGAAUCUGCCCUUUGGUUCGGAAUAACAGUUGGAAACGACUGCUAAUACCGGAUGAUGAGGAAAGUCCAAAGAUUUAUCGCCAGAGGAUGAGCCCGCGUAGGAUUAGCUAGUUGGUGUGGUAAAGGCGCACCAAGGCGACGAUCCUUAGCUGGUCUGAGAGGAUGAUCAGCCACACUGGGACUGAGACACGGCCCAGACUCCUACGGGAGGCAGCAGUGGGGAAUAUUGGACAAUGGGCGAAAGCCUGAUCCAGCAAUGCCGCGUGAGUGAUGAAGGCCCUAGGGUUGUAAAGCUCUUUUACCCGGGAUGAUAAUGACAGUACCGGGAGAAUAAGCCCCGGCUAACUCCGUGCCAGCAGCCGCCGCAG